This 449-nucleotide ribosomal RNA is filed under the name uncultured bacterium. RNAcentral's name for it is "partial 16S ribosomal RNA". It matches the Rfam family "Bacterial small subunit ribosomal RNA", at positions 29 to 523 of the family's 1533-position model. The record is from RNAcentral.
AACGAACGCUGGCGGCAUGCCUAACACAUGCAAGUCGAACGAGAUCUUCGGGUCUAGUGGCGCACGGGUGCGUAACGCGUGGGAAUCUGCCCCUUGGUUCGGAAUAACAGUUGGAAACGACUGCUAAUACCGGAUGAUGGCGAAAGUCCAAAGAUUUAUCGCCAGAGGAUGAGCCCGCGUGGGAUUAGCUAGUUGGUGUGGUAAAGGCGCACCAAGGCGACGAUCCUUAGCUGGUCAGAGAGGGUGAUCAGCCACACGGGGACUGAGACACGGCCCAGACUCCUAUGGGAGGCAGCAGUGGGGAAUAUUGGCCAUUGGGCGAAAGCCUGAUCCAGCGAUGCCGCGUGAGUGAUGAAGGCCUUAGGGUUGUACAGCUCUUUUACCCGGGAACAUAAUGACAGUACCGGGAGAAUAAGCUCCGGCUAACUCCGUGCCAGCCGCCGCAGUAA